AGUGAACGCUGGCGGUAGGCCUAACACAUGCAAGUCGAACGGCAGCACAGUAAGAGCUUGCUCUUACGGGUGGCGAGUGGCGGACGGGUGAGGAAUACAUCGGAAUCUACUUUUUCGUGGGGGAUAACGUAGGGAAACUUACGCUAAUACCGCAUACGACCUACGGGUGAAAGCAGGGGAUCUUCGGACCUUGCGCGAUUGAAUGAGCCGAUGUCGGAUUAGCUAGUUGGCGGGGUAAAGGCCCACCAAGGCGACGAUCCGUAGCUGGUCUGAGAGGAUGAUGAGCGAGACUGGAAGUGGACAAGGGCCCAGACGCCAAAGGGAGCAAGCAGUGGGGAAUAUGGGAAAAAGGGCGCAAGCAUGAACCAGUCAUCAGGGGUGGGAGAAAAGGGCCUUCGGGUUGUAAAGCCUUUUUGUUGGAAAAGAAAAGCAGCAGGUUAAUACCCCGCGUGCCUGACGUUACCAAAAUAAUAAGAACCGGCUAACUUCGUG
This 492-nucleotide ribosomal RNA is filed under the name uncultured bacterium. RNAcentral's name for it is "partial 16S ribosomal RNA". It matches the Rfam family "Bacterial small subunit ribosomal RNA", at positions 29 to 507 of the family's 1533-position model. The record is from RNAcentral.